Molecule: long non-coding RNA, 822 nt
Organism: Populus trichocarpa (black cottonwood)
Lineage: Eukaryota; Viridiplantae; Streptophyta; Magnoliopsida; Malpighiales; Salicaceae
Exons: 4
Source: RefSeq, a predicted model, not a curated record
ACAAAACCGGCAGAAGAGAAAGGGGAAAGAAGAAGAAGAAGAGAAAAGAGGGAAGUUAGAAGGGAAAUUAAGCGGAGUUGAAGAAAAUAAGUUUAAAGAUAAUUCUGAUAUUCUACUGGCGGGACGUCAGUAGGAUUUUCUUCGGUGUCUGCUUUUGACUUUUGUUUGCUUUCGAGUCAGGCUUAUAACUUGAUAGCAGGUCACUUUUGUUGGACCUUCAGAACCUGCUCUUUUGGUUGUAAUUUGUACAUUUUCCUUUAUGUCUAGUUAGUGAUCCAAAACUAUGAAAUUAUAUUAACUCUUGUAUUAAGUCAAUUAAAUUAUAUUAUAAAGUUAGUUUUGUUGUUACUGCUGCGUUGAACUCUGAUUGACUUAUUUAAUGGAUAAAUUUGUAUGUAAGUUUGGGUUCGCAUAGGUAUGGAACUUUGGAGGGGAAUCUUGCCUAUAUACCGGUCAUGUAUCCGGGAAUCGGGUCGUGACACAUAAAGUAACAAAGAAAGAAAGAAAGCAAUCAAGAUGAAAAACAAAUUAACAUCAAAGGGUCUCUGGAAUCAAGUGAUAAAAAUAGAAAAAAGAAAAAGUCUUUAAGCAACCAUACCUCUUGGUUUCAGCCAAUCAACAGAGCAGUGACUUCAGACCAGUGAGCAGAGGUGCAAAUAUUACUGCAGAUUAUAAACAGCUGAGGUUUAUCAGCAGUGAGAAAGCAAGGGAAUGGAUGAGAGCAACAGUGGAUGGCUUAAUGAUUAUUCUCUGUAUAGUUGAAAGAGCGCAUCUUUCCUUCAUAAAGAGAGAGGGAAAAAAAGAAAAAGAACAACUUGACUU